This 440-nucleotide ribosomal RNA is filed under the name uncultured bacterium. Its description in RNAcentral is "partial 16S ribosomal RNA". It matches the Rfam family "Bacterial small subunit ribosomal RNA", at positions 338 to 795 of the family's 1533-position model. The record is from RNAcentral.
CCUACGGGACGCAGCAGUGGGGGAUAUUGCACAAUGGGGGGAACCCUGAUGCAGCGACGCCGCGUGGGUGAAGGAGCGUUUCGGCGCGUAAAGCCCUAUCGGCAGGGAAGAAGAGGACGGUACCUAACCAAGAAGCCCCGGCUAACAACGUGCCAGCAGACGCGGUAAUACGUAGGGGGCAAGCGUUAUCCGGAUUUACUGGGUGUAAAGGGAGCGUAGACGGACAGACAAGUCAGAAGUGAAAGCCCAGGGCACAACGCUGGGACUGCUUUUGAAACUGGCGGGCUGGAGUGCAGGAGAGGUAAGCGGAAUUCCUAGUGUAGCCGUGAAAUGCGUAGAUAUUAGGAGGAACCCCAGUGGCGAAGGCGGCUUACUGGACUGUAACUGACGUUGAGGCUCGAAAGCGUGGGGAGCAAACAGGAUUAGAUACCCUAGUAGUC